Molecule: transfer RNA, 73 nt
Filed under: Patiria miniata (bat star)
Lineage: Eukaryota; Metazoa; Echinodermata; Asteroidea; Valvatida; Asterinidae
Description: tRNA-Arg
Rfam family: tRNA
About the family: Transfer RNA (tRNA) molecules are approximately 80 nucleotides in length. Their secondary structure includes four short double-helical elements and three loops (D, anti-codon, and T loops).
Source: Rfam by way of RNAcentral
GGUCUUGUGGCCCAAUGGAUAAGGCAUCUGACUACGGAUCAGGGGAUUCCAGGUUCGAGUCCUGGCAAGAUCG